AUGAACGCUGGCGGCGUGCCUAAUACAUGCAAGUCGAGCGAACGGACGAGAAGCUUGCUUCUCUGAUGUUAGCGGCGGACGGGUGAGUAACACGUGGACAACCUACCUAUAAGACUGGGAUAACUUCGGGAAACCGGAGCUAAUACCGGAUGAUAUUUUGAACCGCAUGGUUCAAAAGUGAAAGACGGUCUUGCUGUCACUUAUAGAUGGAUCCGCGCUGCAUUAGCUAGUUGGUAAGGUAACGGCUUACCAAGGCAACGAUGCAUAGCCGACCUGAGAGGGUGAUCGGCCACACUGGAACUGAGACACGGUCCAGACUCCUACGGGAGGCAGCAGUAGGGAAUCUUCCGCAAUGGGCGAAAGCCUGACGGAGCAACGCCGCGUGAGUGAUGAAGGUCUUCGGAUCGUAAAACUCUGUUAUUAGGGAAGAACAUAUGUGUAAGUAACUGUGCACAUCUUGACGGUACCUAAUCAGAAAGCCACGGCUAACUACGUG
Molecule: ribosomal RNA, 496 nt
Filed under: uncultured bacterium
Lineage: Bacteria
Description: partial 16S ribosomal RNA
Rfam family: Bacterial small subunit ribosomal RNA
Source: RNAcentral